Molecule: unclassified non-coding RNA, 100 nt
Organism: Otolemur garnettii (small-eared galago)
Lineage: Eukaryota; Metazoa; Chordata; Mammalia; Primates; Galagidae
Rfam family: Y RNA
About the family: Y RNAs are components of the Ro ribonucleoprotein particle (Ro RNP), in association with Ro60 and La proteins. The Y RNAs and Ro60 and La proteins are well conserved, but the function of the Ro RNP is not known. In humans the RNA component can be one of four small RNAs -- hY1, hY3, hY4 and hY5.
Source: Ensembl
AGCUAGUCUGAGCUCAGUGGUGUUUGCAACUAAUUGAUCACAACCAGAUACAGAUUCCUUUGUUCCUUCUUCACUCCCUGUUUCACUUGACUAGCCUUAA